UAAACUAGGAUUAGAUACCCUAUUAUUUUAAAUGUAAAUAUUUAUUUAUGGUAUUAAUAGUUAAGAUCUUUAAAUUAAAAGAAUUUGACGGUGAUUUAAUCAUUUUAGAGGAACCUGCCCUGUAAUUGAUAAUCCACGAUAAAUUUUACUUUAAUUAUGGUUUGUAUAUCUCUGUUUAUUGAAUGUUUUAUUAGAAUAAUUUUCUUUAAUUUAUAUAAAAAAUAUAUCAGGUCAAGGUGCAGCUAUAUUAGAGCUUGAGGUGGGUUACAUUAGUUUAAUUACUAUAGAUUAUAUUAUGCAUGUAAUAUAUGAAAUUGGAUUUAAUUGUAAUUUGUAUUAUAU
This 342-nucleotide ribosomal RNA is filed under the name Parastrachia japonensis. RNAcentral describes it as "partial 12S ribosomal RNA". The record is from RNAcentral. Lineage: Eukaryota; Metazoa; Arthropoda; Insecta; Hemiptera; Parastrachiidae.